UUCUUUACAGGCUAGUUCAUUGGGCUAAUCCUCUUGCCGCAAGUUUGGUUCCUGAAAGAUACUCUGCAGUUAGCUGAUGAACACUCUGGAUUCAUCCUGAUGACCAUGCACGUAUGAAAGAACAGAAGAAAUAAGAUUUCGCAGGAGCAAGAGUAAGAGGAAAUGCAGCAAACUGCCAGCAUAAACCAACAGCAACAGGUUCCAAUGAUCUGUUAUCAAAGGAAGAUAUGCUAAAAACGCCUCAAAUACACAGACAAACAUUUCUUCAUGCAAAACUUACCUGAUAACUGAGAGAACACAAGGAGCUUCGGCAAUAGCCAAUCUGAACCAAGAAACCACGACCACUAAAAUUCAAUUCCUCAGGACAUGCUCAUGGCCAUGUGAAGGGAUGCUAGAACCUGAAGCCCUGAGCUGUGCGCCCUUUUGGCAACGGUAACGGAAGGAAUCAGAAGCCUUUCUUGCACAAGCCUCGGUCAGUACUCAGUGCUAGCUUUUCCUCUCUCUCUCUCUCUUUCCUCUUCUGUUUUCUGUUAUUCCUAACUCUCUUCUCCCCCAGCUUUGAAGAAUGGAGGGAAGGCAACACUAGCUAGCUUGGUAAGGCAGCCAACACCACAUGGCAUGCACAAGCAAAAUGGACUUUCGGUCAGUGUGGCGACCCCCCACGCCACACUUUUCCCCACAAGCAGAAAAAAGUGGCAGGCAAUGGCUAAGCUGCAGGCAAAAGCUGAUGCGAGCCUUUGAUAAUUGCGUGUGUUGAGCCUGUACCAAUGAUAGAAUCUCGUGGGUCUUUUUGAGGUGUUUCUAGUAGGUGCCCGGAUAUGACAUGAAAGAAUCAGAUGAUGAGUAUAAAGAUAUUGGUUUUGCAUUUGGGGCUGAUAUCUACCGUUUUGUUGGUUCUGCAGUUUGCUAGCGAAGGCCAGGAAAAGGGCAGCGUCUUGUCAAGUAUUGAGAUGGUGAUGGAAUGGAGAUUUUCUUAGCUACGGAUAGAGUUGUCCACCAACAGCUAACAGUGGCAUAUCAAGGUUUUGUCGAUUUGCUUAUAAGGAGUGCAAAUAACAAUCGCAACUGGGGAACAUCCAGAGUGCUUGCCAUUUCCAAGACGUUUCUUUUCAGUUUUCCGUUCAAUUAUAUUGAGAGUGGAAUUAUGCAGAGACCGGAUUCAAAUUGAGCUUUCAUUAUCUAAAAGAAUAGUUAAGAGUCGAAUUUUACUAUAUACUGUCUAUUUAGUUUAAAAUAAAUGUUUUGGGCAAGACGAGUUGGGGAAAGCUGCUUGCUUCACAAAUGAGCUGUGGACCUAGCAAUUUCAGUGGCGUAUAAACAAGUCACUUGCCUGGGGUGCAC
Molecule: long non-coding RNA, 1341 nt
Filed under: Oryza brachyantha (malo sina)
Lineage: Eukaryota; Viridiplantae; Streptophyta; Magnoliopsida; Poales; Poaceae
Description: long non-coding RNA (OBRA_LNC000667)
Source: RNAcentral